GGCGAACGCUGGCGGCGUGCCUAAUACAUGCAAGUCGAACGCACUCUCGUUUAGAUUGAAGGAGCUUGCUCCUGAUUGAUAAACAUUUGAGUGAGUGGCGGACGGGUGAGUAACACGUGGGUAACCUGCCCUAAAGUGGGGGAUAACAUUUGGAAACAGAUGCUAAUACCGCAUAAAACCUAAACACCGCAUGGUGUAGGGUUGAAAGAUGGUUUCGGCUAUCACUUUAGGAUGGACCCGCGGUGCAUUAGUUAGUUGGUGAGGUAAAGGCUCACCAAGACCGUGAUGCAUAGCCGACCUGAGAGGGUAAUCGGCCACACUGGGACUGAGACACGGCCCAGACUCCUACGGGAGGCAGCAGUAGGGAAUCUUCCACAAUGGACGAAAGUCUGAUGGAGCAACGCCGCGUGAGUGAAGAAGGUUUUCGGAUCGUAAAACUCUAGUUGUUGGAGAAGAAUGUAUCUGAUAGUAACUGAUCAGGUAGUGACGGUAUCCAACCAGAAAGCCACGG
Molecule: ribosomal RNA, 511 nt
Filed under: uncultured bacterium
Lineage: Bacteria
Description: bacterial SSU rRNA
Rfam family: Bacterial small subunit ribosomal RNA
Source: RNAcentral